CAAAAGGUUAGCACACAGCGGUGCGCGGAGAAGACACGUUUAGCAGUCAGAAAUAUUGUACUGUAGUAGCUUUAAAUUACAUUCCUGGGGGAAUGCACUUUUUAAAGUCUACUCACUGGUGGCUUCCCAGUCGACUCACUCACCAUUGGGCUAUCCUCUACUCUCUUCACUGCCUCGGCAUAGGAAACUUUCUGCCCCACGUGAACUCUGGCAAUCUCAACCUGUCUCCCUCUCACAGGGCACUUCAGAUCCACAGCUGCAUGGGAACCCCCACAAUUGACAGACAGGGCUUUUUCUAUGCCAACUGUACACUCCCUCUGACUGCCCUCCUGCACAUUUUUUACAUUGUGGGAUCUCACUGCUGCAAUGUGUCCGAAUCGUUGGCACUUAAAGCACCAAAGUGGGUUCGAAACAGGCCCUCGCAGAAAAUCUAAUAUAACCUAACCAGACCUUAUGAGGUAGAAACUCUGUGUCAAAGCUCAACAAAACUGACAGGGUAUUGUCAGUCUCGCCAUUGCCACCCGGUCUACAUCUCACCAAACAGCAGGCGUCACAAAUACUAGGAAUAUUCCUUUUCAUUUCGUCCACCUCUAUACUCAACACUAUCACCCCUUUUAGCGGUACCCUGCUCCGGAGAGCAAAGCACACCACCGGUUGAGCCCCGGGCCGUGUGACUCGAAGUGCCUGCUCUGUCGCUGCAGGUAAUCCUGGACUGGCUCAACCUCAGAGUGCUCACCACUGCUGUCUGACUCCAUUUAGAGAUCGUCAAGAUUCUCAAGAGUGCAUGAAGACCUAUAAGUAAUAUUACUUGGUUUGUAAUCAGGAGACAUAGGUUAUCAUGGUGUGUGAUGUUCAUCUCCAGAUCUGUGGACUGAUGAAUUCUCCAAACUUUUAAGUACCACUCCCUUCAUGUGCUUCCUGCUCCUCUUGAUUCCCACAAGUCUAACUACGAAACCAAACUUCCCACCUUCAGCACACUAGCCACAGUUGGGCUAGGGUUCUUCCACUAUGCUCACAUUAUUUCCUGCCCAGUGUGGACUGAGGUCACUCCUCAGGUUGUUCCUCCGUAUUCUGGUAUGCGGCGACAGAGAUGGCGCUGUAGGGGUUCAGGACCAUCUGGGCACAGCGCACUAUGGUGAACAGCAGGAAGGAACACAGUAGAAAGACAAAGAAGAGAGCAAAGCCCAGGUCCACGUCCACCUCCAUCCUGGCCACCGGCAGGAGAGGAGGGUCCAUGACUUAUCGUAUCCAAUUGAGGCUGAUGCAGACUGACAAAGGUAAAAAAAAUAUAUAUAUAUAUAUAUAUAUAUAUAUAUAGGUAGAAAACCUUUUUUUAAAGUGUCCUUUGCCACUUGGUGUUGGACAACACUAGAAUCCAAACUUUCUCUCGUCCGUCCUUUUGUAUCUAUCUACUUGUUCUAACAACAUAGAAUCGUAGCUUGUUCUAAUGAAGGGUCUUAAUGCUGUCUAUGCUUCUCUAGAA
Long non-coding RNA from Oncorhynchus tshawytscha (Chinook salmon), 1483 nucleotides. NCBI's taxonomy places the organism in Eukaryota, Metazoa, Chordata, Actinopteri, Salmoniformes, Salmonidae. The record is from Ensembl.